AUAUUGGACAAUGGGGGCAACCCUGAUCCAGCAAUGCCGCGUGUGUGGAGAAGGCCUGAGGGUUGUAAAGCACUUUCAGUGGGGAGGAGGAUAUUUUGGUUAAGCGCUGAGAUAUUGGACGUUACCCACAGAAGAAGCACCGGCUAACUCCGUGCCAGCAGCCGCGGUAAUACGGAGGGUGCAAGCGUUAAUCGGAAUUACUGGGCGUAAAGGGUGCGUAGGUUGUUAGAUAAGUUAUCUGUAAAAUCCCCGGGCUUAACCUGGGCAGGUCAGAUAAGACUGUUUGACUGGAGUAUAGGAGAGGGUAGUGGAAUUUCCGGUGUAGCGGUGAAAUGCGUAGAGAUCGGAAGGAACACCAGUGGCGAAGGCGGCUACCUGGCCUAAUACUGACACUGAGGCACGAAAGCGUGGGGAGCAAAC
This 420-nucleotide ribosomal RNA is filed under the name uncultured bacterium. Its description in RNAcentral is "bacterial SSU rRNA". It matches the Rfam family "Bacterial small subunit ribosomal RNA", at positions 361 to 773 of the family's 1533-position model. The record is from RNAcentral.